CGGGAGUAACUAUGACUCUCUU
RNAcentral lists this non-coding RNA (22 nucleotides) under Arabidopsis thaliana (thale cress). RNAcentral also lists the same sequence under 3 other names. Lineage: Eukaryota; Viridiplantae; Streptophyta; Magnoliopsida; Brassicales; Brassicaceae. The record is from RNAcentral.